Molecule: long non-coding RNA, 5050 nt
Organism: Thamnophis elegans (Western terrestrial garter snake)
Lineage: Eukaryota; Metazoa; Chordata; Lepidosauria; Squamata; Natricidae
Exons: 2
Source: RefSeq, a predicted model, not a curated record
CCUAAACAAACAGUUAAAAAAAUAAAUUAUUUUUUCUAACAUCAUGGCAACAAUAUGCUAAACUACAACAUACACAGCAAGAAGAUGUAAACUGACUUGUACUAUUGUAAAAAUUCAGAAAUAAUUAUCUAACAACAUUUUAUUACUAAAAGUCCACAAGGCCAAUAAUACUCUGUAUGAUUUCAAAAAUACAUUUGUUAUUCAAAAAUUAUUAACCAUAGGUACAUAUAAAACUCAGCUUGUACCAUUCUAUUCAUAUACAUUUCAUUUUGCACCUGUCCUUCAGUUUGAAACAAGGCUAGCUAAAUCUAAAUAUAAUCCAUAAAAGUAAAUUGCAAAUAAUAUUAAACCACAUCAAUAAAUUAUUCUCUGUGAAUUUACUUUACAUAUUGAAAAUUCAAAGCAGAUCAUAAAAAUAGACUAACUAAACAACAGACACCUUCUUCUAUAUAAAUACUUGAAAUAUUUGAUUAAAAUAGAAGAGCGACAAUUACUUAACAAUCAAAGUGGGCCACAGAAAUUCUCAUACACAGAAAAACAAAUUAUUAGUUAAAGGAAUGUGAAUAUUUAUAUACUGUGACUUAUUAAGCAGGCAAGAUAACUAUUCAAAGUUCCAAUAAGAUGAUAUUGCUGACACUACUAGAUAAAAGUUUAUCUCACCCACUGCAGAAUCGAAAACACGGAAAGCAGAAGGCUGAAAGGGCAGUUUUUAAUAGCUGUUCAGUUAAAAGAUUAAUAUAAAAUGCAACAUUUAUAAGGUGACACAGAAAGGAAAAUAAAUUUUACUAGAUUCUGACCACCCAAUUGUUAUUAUUCUAUUGGAAAGAAAUGCACUAUUCUUGCUAUCAGAAAUCCUAAUUUCUUCCUAAAUAAAAUGGAUAUAAGGAUCUUACAGUCAGUAGUCAGGUUAUCUUUUUUAAAGAUUUUCCGCACAUUCCUAACCAGAGAAUGUAGAAACUUGAUUUGCUAAUGUCAUGUAGAGCUUCUAGAUAAUUUCUACAGUUGCUCACAGCAUACAAAAUUAUACUUAAACAACAGCACAAUCCUAUAUAUGUCUAUUCAGAAGGAAGUUCCAUUCAAUGGUGUUAAUAUUAUUUCUAAAAUUAUAGCCUUAAAAAGUAUAAAUAAAAUUUAAUUUUAUUAAUUUUGAAAUUAAUCUAUUUUAAAAGAAACCAUCCAAAAAUUUUAAUUUCAUGGUUGAUUUGAGUACAAGCAUUUUAAUUAUUUUCAUAUUUAUAAAGUUAUCUUAGUAACAUACUCAUUCUCCCAAUGUUAUACUUUUUAAAAAGUUUAUUAUUUUACCUCUUUCAUGAGUCUUUCCUUUAAAAAGUUUGAAGCUCCACUGCAUUUUUUAUUCCCAUUUGAGCUCUAAACUGACAUAGAUAUUUCUACACAACAAACAAAAUUAUUUUCUUGCUAUUAUGUUUAAACAUUAGAUUCUAAUUUUACAAUAAUUACUACUAUCUUGGAAAAUACAAUAUAAAACAGCAUAAUAUACUUUAAGCUGAAACCUUUUUUCACAAUAAAAAGAUAUCUGAAAUUAUGCUCUCUACUUGUGUAUUUUUAAUAUUUAUAAGGUGCACUCUUUUUUACAUAGUGUGUUUGUACUCCAAACAAAAUGCUUUGUGUGCAGAAAGUGAUUUUAAAUCAUUUUAAAAUAAAAUAAAAAAAUACAGUUUUAAUUUAUGGCUUGAGACUAAAAUCCUAUAAAUCCUAGGAAAAAGGCUCCCAGAUAAAUCUUACUUCUGAGCAGAUAUGCAUAGGACUGUACUGUGAACUUAUUUAAUUCUGAAAGCUAUUGGCUGAAAACUCUGACACGGCAAACAGCAAGUACACACAUCAGAAGGUUUUUAUAGGAAAAAUACCCCAUGUUUCACUUAAAACAAGAUCCCAGGAAUAAUUUGUGCUGACUUUCUUUGUGAGACAAACUGAAUUGAUAAAUCAAUAUGAACACAAGUAAUGCUAAAUUGUUUUUAAAAGGGAAAAAAAUGCUCUGAAUUCAAUUAACUGCAAUGUUAUUAGGUGCAGUUGUGAAUAACUACUUUGAAAUUUAAAGAGAAAUUUCUGUGUGAAUUCUGCAUAUUAUUAAAAAAGAGAGUUUACUAAACAAAUUAGGUUAAUUUUAUAGCAGUUGAUUAAAAGAUUUUUCUACCUCUCCCCAAACUGAACAAAAGAAACAGCUGAGUGAACAAUAUAUGCAACUGGAAUUUAUAAAUAUAGAUUCCCCUUAAGCUGUUUCUUUAAGAGUGGUUACAAACCCAAGCUCUGGUUCUUACGCUACAGGCUGCAAGAGAUGCUCAGUUCAGUACUCACGAGGUUUAAGUUAGUCCAUAUUUCUGCAGGAAGUGACCUGCGGAUGGGGAACAUGAGAUGACACGAUCUCACUCUUUCACGGGAGAAAUGUACAGUAAAUGCCUAAAAUAGACACAGGCUUUUCUGUAUCAUAACAACAAGCAGUGACCUCAUCAGAAACAUGUGACAAAACUGAAUCCCAUUGGAAGGGUUUGUGACUUAAUAAAAGGUGAGAUCUAAUUUUUAAAAGUUUAGAACAGUAAAAAAUAAAAAAUACAGGUCACAAAUAUUUUAAAAAAAGGUUGUGUAAAAUGCACUGAGUACUGAAAUUUUUGUCAUCUGCAGCAAUUUAACCAUUUUAUAUCAUAAAAUACUUACCUAUGAACUUUAAAGAAACACAAAAUAUUGCUUUGGCUUUGUUUUAAAAAUAAUUUAAAAUGCUAACCUUGUCAUCAGAACUAAUAUAAUGGUGAGAUAUCACUCUGAAUAUGAAGUCAUCCCUGAACUUUGCUACUACAGAUCAAGCUGGGUUUGAGCUUUAUUAAAAGCUUUAACAAAGAGGAGUGUGUGCGUGUACGAGAAAAAUCACAGUCCAUAUAUUUAUCGCUUUUCAAAACAAAUGUUUAAACAGAUGUUUAUAUCAGAAAACAGAUUUAUUGUGAAAGAAUUUUUUAAAUUGAAAACUGUAAAUUCUGCUGUUGCUAUAUAAAAUACAUCAAGAAGAUGAUUAGUGGGAAAAGUCAAUAAAUUACAAAACUAGACAGUUCUUCAUGAUGUAAUAUUUUUCUAUUUCCUAUUAGAAUUGGUGUAAAAGGAAUAUCUUCUCAGAAAACAAAAGCUUUGUAUACAUUUUGUAUUUAUGGCCAAUACUACCUGGAAAACAUAAGCCAGUGUUUUUUUUAAAAUAAUUUGCAUCACACAUUUGUAAUACCAUAUCCAACAAAUUAGCAAAGGCAUUGUAUUGAUCAGGAAUAUAAAAACUUUUAGUGGAAUAGGUAUUCAAGUGAUAAUGCUGUUCCUGUUACCCAUCCACAGAACAUGGGGUACAGCUGUACUAGAAUGGCAGAAUGUCAUCUGUACUUAGCAUAUAUCUGUAUCUGGCAGUGUUAUAGUUGGGCUGCUUACAUAGAACAACGUAAAAACAACAAGAGUCAUAUUUAGCAAUAUUACAGUGCUUCAUCUAGUUUCUGUAAUGGGAUCAGAAUAAAUAUUCAAGAUUUUUCUUUGUAACGCUUGCCUGAAUAGUGAAUGUACAUUAGUCUAUUUUGCUCACCAAGAAUACAUUUGAUAUCCAUGACAAUUUUUCUUACUGGAUAACAAAAUAUUAAGAUGUACUAGCCAAAUAAGAGGUAAUAUUUAGGCUUUAAUAAAUUUAUUUAGCUUUUGUAAAAAUUAUUACCUGUAUGAUUUAAUACAUUAAACAACAUUUCUUUUAAAAACAAUUAAAAAUUACCAAAAAUGUAAUGAAUGAGAAAGUUAAGAAAGAAUUCAUACUCUGUGAAAGAUUUUAAAAUAUAUUUGUAUGCAGAAAGUCUAAUAUGGUAUUUGUUCCUUAAGGCUUCCACAUAUUCUUAAUUGUACUAGUAGCUGUAAACUAAAAUGUAUCUUGCAGGCAGAAUUGUUAAUUGUUUAACUUAAUACAAUAAGUAAGCAUUUUAAAAAGCAAAAAUGACAAGGUUAGCAUUUUCCCCAUAUGCUGUUUGUAUUAGUUAUGAGACAAUACAGCCAAAAUUAUAUGUCAGUAGUUUUAUAUGUAUUUAAGAAUAUUUCAAAUGCAAUCUAUGCGAUUUCUAGCAUCCUAAAACUAUGCUAGUUCAAAGGGAAAGUAGCUACCUUCAAAGCCAAUAUGCACAGGGGACUCUUUUUUACCAACCAUGUAGUUUAGGUAUAUAACUGCAAAGCUGAAUGUUAUUUCCAGUCAAUUUUUUGUAAGCACAUGAACAAGAUAAUUUCAUGUAAUAACAACAGAAUCACAGAAAUUCAAAAGAGGUAGCUUUUUAUAUUAAACAUAGAACAAAGCAUAUUUGUCUCAAAGUGACAGCUAUGAAAAACUAAGUAAAGAAAUAGAUCUAAAACAGAAUUUUUAUAUAAAUAAUUCAAAUCAUAAUAUUAAAAAUACUACUGGAUAGGCUAACUGGAUUUGCAUGUAGAUAUGAAAUUUGCCAACAAAUCAGUUUUCUACAUAUUCUGGGCAAAUAUACAUAUUUACAACCAUUACGACAACCAGAUAAUCUAAUCUGAUUGCAAAGAAAUAUUAAUGUGUAAUACACAGGUCAUUUUCUGUAAAAAAAAAAGAUUACUAAUCCAUUUUCAUCUUCUGCUCUGUUCUUUGUCAAGAGAAAUUUAAUUUCUUUUUAACUUCUGGGAAAAAAAGAAGACAGGUAACAGUCUCUAAAUCAAUGUACAAUUUUAAACGAAUCCUCAAUUGCACUGUUGCCCCUUCCCUCCCAUUUCCAUGGAUUUCUUUAAAAAAACUGUAUACAAAUAACUACUUAAAAUUUAUACUUCUAUUCUCCAAAAUAAUAUGACAGAAGGUUGACUAUGCUUAUUAAUUAUAUGGGCAUUUUUGUCUCCCAAACAUGCCAGGAUUCUUAUGUAGAACAUAUUGCACAAGCCAUAAAUUGAAACAUUUAUUCUAAAAUAGCACAAUCUUACAUUUUCUCAUCACAUGCCUCAGAGAUCAUGGGACUCACCAACCGAUAACUGUGACAGAAUUGCAACUCCAUGAAUUCUAUUAUUAAUAAACAUGUAAAUAAUG